UACGUAGGCAGCAAGCGUUGUUCGGAAUUAUUGGGCGUAAAGAGUAUGUAGGUGGUGUCGUAAGUUUGGUGUGAAAUCUCCCGGCUUAACCGGGAGGGUGCGCCGAAGACUGCGAUGCUGGAGUAUGGGAGAGGGAAUCGGAAUUCCUGGUGUAGCGGUGAAAUGCGUAGAUAUCGGGAGGAACACCUAUGGCGAAAGCAGCUGCCUGGGCCUUUACUGACGCUAAGACUCGAAAGCUGGGGGAGCAAACAGGAUUAGAACCGUACCUCG
RNAcentral lists this ribosomal RNA (270 nucleotides) under uncultured bacterium. RNAcentral's name for it is "partial 16S ribosomal RNA". It matches the Rfam family "Bacterial small subunit ribosomal RNA", at positions 524 to 790 of the family's 1533-position model. The record is from RNAcentral.